UACGUAGGGUGCGAGCGUUGUCCGGAAUUAUUGGGCGUAAAGAGCUCGUAGGCGGUGUGUCACGUCGGCCGUGAAAACCUGGGGCUUAACUCUGGGCGUGCGGUCGAUACGGGCAUCACUAGAGUUCGGCAGGGGAGACUGGAAUUCCUGGUGUAGCGGUGGAAUGCGUAGAGAUCCGGAAGAACACCGGUGGCGAAGGCGGCCCGCUGGGCAACUGCUGACACUGAUGCGCGACAGCGUGGGGAGCAAACAGG
This 254-nucleotide ribosomal RNA is filed under the name uncultured bacterium. RNAcentral's name for it is "partial 16S ribosomal RNA". It matches the Rfam family "Bacterial small subunit ribosomal RNA", at positions 524 to 776 of the family's 1533-position model. The record is from RNAcentral.